RNAcentral lists this ribosomal RNA (1279 nucleotides) under Cerambycidae sp. 9 KM-2017. Its description in RNAcentral is "16S ribosomal RNA". The stretch from base 1039 to 1197 matches the Rfam family "Archaeal large subunit ribosomal RNA", at positions 2542 to 2701 of the family's 2987-position model. Lineage: Eukaryota; Metazoa; Arthropoda; Insecta; Coleoptera; Cerambycidae. The record is from RNAcentral.
GUGGAAUAAUUUAUUAUUUUAUAUAAUUAUAAUGGUGUUAAUAAAAGUAAUUUUUUUUUUAGUAUUAAUUGAGAAAAAAAUAUAAUUUAUUAUAGGGAAUUAGUAUUGUGAAAGAAUAUUUUUGUAUAAGAUUAAGAAAAAAAGAAUUUUGUACCUUGUGUAUCAGGGUUUAUUAAAUUAAAUAAAGAUUUUAAUUUCUCGAAUUUAAAAGAGCUAAUUAAUUAUUGUAUUUUAUUGUUGAAUAAAUAUUUUAAAUAUUUAAUUAGAAAUGAAACGUUAUACGUUUUUAAUAUAUCUAGUUAUUUAAGAAAAAAAUUUAAUUUUAAAUUUAUGAAUAUUAUUUUUAGUUUUAAUUUAGUGUUAGUAAGUAUUAAUUUUUUUAGGGAUUAGCUUGAAAAAAGAUCAAUAAAAAAUGUUAGUAAAUUUUAAAUAGUUUAGGAUUAGAAGUUUCAAUGUUUAGAAAAAUGUUAUAAUUUAUUUUAGAAUUAAUAAAAAUUUCUAUUAUUUUUAUAUGAUUUAUUGAAUUAUUAAAUUAAAUUAUAAAAUUUAAGGAAUAAUGAUAAAAUUAGUAGUAUAAUUUAUAGGAUUAAAUUAAAAUUUAAUAGGUAAAUUUAAGGAAUUCGGCAAAUUAUUUUUCACCUGUUUAAUAAAAACAUGGCCUUUUGAACUUAAUUUAAGGUCUGACCUGCCCACUGAAUUAAAUUAAAGGGCCGCGGUAUUUUGACCGUGCUAAGGUAGCAUAAUCAUUAGUUUCUUAAUUAGAAGCUGGAAUGAAUGGUUGGAUGAAAAAAUAACUGUCUUAAAUUUAAUUAAAAUGAAUUUUAUUUUUAAGUUAAAAAGCUUAAAUUUCAUUAAAAGACGAGAAGACCCUAUAGAGUUUAAUAUAAUAAAAAUUUAUAUUUUUAGUAUUUUAAUAAUAAAUUUCUAAUUAUAUUUAAUUGGGGUGAUUAAAAAAUUAAGUUAACUUUUUUUAGUAUUAAACAUGAAUAAAUGAGCAGAUGAUCCAUUUAAAUGAUUAUAAGAUUAAAUUACCUUAGGGAUAACAGCGUAAUUUUUUUUGAGAGUUCAAAUCGAAAAAAAAGAUUGCGACCUCGAUGUUGGAUUAAAAUUAAUUAUUGGUGUAGAGGCUAAUAAAUUGGGUCUGUUCGACCUUUAAAAUUUUACAUGAUCUGAGUUUAAACCGGUGUGAGCCAGGUUGGUUUCUAUCUUUAAUUAAAAUUUAUAUUUUAGUACGAAAGGACCAAAUAUAAGGUAAAUUAUUUAUUUUUAGAAUUAAAAU